UCUAUCAACAUUUCUGUUCGAAACAUCAGUUUUCAAAGGAUCAUAAAAUCUCCCUACAGGAGGCAGCUUGGCAUGAAUGAAGCUCUGAGUAUGGGAGCAAGUUUUUUUUAAUUAGCAGUUGAUGUUGUAGACUUGCUUUUUUAAAAAAGCUGCUGAGCUGUCUUUAUGGAAGUGCAAAAAUAAAACGAAAAAGCUUCCUUAGAUGUCUCAUUCUGUUCUUUGAGGCUGUGAAUUUCAUCUCAAAUUCCUUGCUUUCAGUUGUGAGGAACUCUCUGUUCUUUUCCUAUGUUUGGCAGAGCUGCGAUUAGGAAGUGGAGUCUGUUUCCUUGAAGGACUCCAGGAGCUGGGGCAACAUCAGCUAUCACAAGACUACAAAUAAAAGCUAUCACUUGAUCCAGUGAUGAGCUCCAUGGAAGAAGAUCCUGGUGCCUGCAGCAGAGCUCUGUGUUGGUACAGGGUCUUCUCAUGCUAUCUCAUUGAAGAAUCAGGGCCUUAGACCCUUUUCCUGCUCAGGGAAUAUUUACCAUAUCCCCAGCAUGAGCAGAUGUUUCUCAGCAUGCAGAAAUUUCUCUUCUUUCAGCAUGCAGAAAUUUAACUGCUACUAAGCUUCACUACUGAAAACUAACAUAGGCAUCUGGGACAGAGAAAGGCCUUCUGAGAUCUCGGUAGAAGCCUGGCUUGCAACGCUGGCAAUGCUGCCCUUCAGUGUUGUGUUGACAGUUAUCACAGACUCCACCACUGCGAUUCCCCGAGGCCAGC
Long non-coding RNA from Mauremys reevesii (Reeves's turtle), 759 nucleotides. RefSeq lists it as uncharacterized. The transcript is spliced from 4 exons. The record is from RefSeq and is a predicted model, not a curated record. Lineage: Eukaryota; Metazoa; Chordata; Testudines; Geoemydidae.